GACGAACGCUGGCGGCGUGCUUAACACAUGCCAGUCGAACGGAAAGGCCUGCUUUCCCUUGUGGAUUGCGGGUACUCGAGUGGCGAACGGGUGAGUAACACGUGAGUGAUCUGCCCCCAACUUGGGUAUAAGCCUGGGAAACUGGGUCUAAUUCCCGAUAGGACUGCAGGGUGGUGCCUGUGGUGGAAAACGAUUUUCUAGUGGUUGGGGAUGAGCUCGCGGCCUAUCAGCUUGUUGGUGGGGUAAUGGCCUACCAAGGCGGCGACGGGUAGCCGGCCUGGGAGGGUGGACGGCCACAUUGGGACUGGGAUACGGCCCAGACUCCGACGGGAGGCAGCAGUGGGGAAUAUUGCACAAUGGGCGGAAGCCUGAUGCAGCGACGCCGCGUGGGGGAUGACGGCCUUCGGGUUGUAAACUCCUUUCGACCGCGAGGAAGCCACCUGGUUGGAAGGGUGGUGACGGUAGUGGUAGAAGAAGCACCGGCUAACUACGUG
This 494-nucleotide ribosomal RNA is filed under the name uncultured bacterium. Its description in RNAcentral is "partial 16S ribosomal RNA". It matches the Rfam family "Bacterial small subunit ribosomal RNA", at positions 28 to 507 of the family's 1533-position model. The record is from RNAcentral.